Molecule: ribosomal RNA, 499 nt
Filed under: uncultured bacterium
Lineage: Bacteria
Description: partial 16S ribosomal RNA
Rfam family: Bacterial small subunit ribosomal RNA
Source: RNAcentral
GACGAACGCUGGCGGCGUGCUUAACACAUGCAAGUCGAACGGGCCCGCCCCUGUUUUUGGGGGUGGGUUGAGUGGCGAACGGGUGAGUAUCACGUGAGUAACCUGCCCCCUGCUCCUGGAUAACUGCUUGAAAGGGCGGCUAAUACGGGGUGUGCCGGCUGGUCCGCAUGGGCCUGGUCGGGAUAGUUUCAUCUUCGGGUGUUUCGGUGGGGGAUGGGCUCGCGGCCUAUCAGCUUGUUGGUGGGGUGAUGGCCCACCAAGGCGGUGACGGGUAGCCGGCCUGAGAGGGUGGGCGGCCACACGGGGACUGGGACACGGCCCAGACUCCUGCGGGAGGCAGCAGUGGGGGGUAUUGCACAAUGGGCGGAAGCCUGAUGCAGCGACGUCGCGUGAGGGAUGGAGGCCUUCGGGUUGUGAACCUCUUUCUCCGGUGGUGAAGGCCCUGUCCGUUGCGGCGGGGUUGACGGUAGCCGGGUAUGAAGCGCCGGCUAACUACGUG